UCGGGAAUUUUGGGCAAUGGGGGAAACCCUGACCCAGCAACGCCGCGUGAAGGAUGAAGUAUUUCGGUAUGUAAACUUCGAAAGAAUAGGAAGAAUAAAUGACGGUACUAUUUAUAAGGUCCGGCUAACUACGUGCCAGCAGCCGCGGUAAUACGUAGGGACCAAGCGUUGUUCGGAUUUACUGGGCGUAAAGGGCGCGUAGGCGGCAUGACAAGUCACUUGUGAAAUCUCUGGGCUUAACCCAGAACGGCCAAGUGAUACUGUCGCGCUAGAGUGCAGAAGGGGCAAUCGGAAUUCUUGGUGUAGCGGUGAAAUGCGUAGAUAUCAAGAGGAACACCUGAGGUGAAGACGGGUUGCUGGGCUGACACUGACGCUGAGGCGCGAAAGCCAGGGGAGCAAACAGGAUUAGAUACCCCUGUAGUCCCUGAGCGGGCUGGCAAGGCG
Molecule: ribosomal RNA, 444 nt
Filed under: uncultured bacterium
Lineage: Bacteria
Description: bacterial SSU rRNA
Rfam family: Bacterial small subunit ribosomal RNA
Source: RNAcentral